Molecule: non-coding RNA, 100 nt
Filed under: Hydrogenophaga sp.
Lineage: Bacteria; Pseudomonadati; Pseudomonadota; Betaproteobacteria; Burkholderiales; Comamonadaceae
Also listed under: 1 other name
Description: Glycine sequence
Rfam family: Glycine riboswitch aptamer
About the family: This family represents the bacterial glycine riboswitch. Glycine riboswitches usually consist of two metabolite-binding aptamers domains with similar structures in tandem.
Source: RNAcentral
UCCUGCCAGUCAGGAGAGCGCUUCCCCGUGAAGCCGCCGAAGGCGCAGGCGACCGGUUCACCGGUCCUGAACGCUCAGGCAAAAGGACUGGCAACCACCG